Molecule: ribosomal RNA, 341 nt
Filed under: Drosophila fima
Lineage: Eukaryota; Metazoa; Arthropoda; Insecta; Diptera; Drosophilidae
Description: eukaryotic LSU rRNA
Source: RNAcentral
GCCCGAUGAACCUGAAUAUCCAUUAUGGAAAAUUCAUCAUUAAAGUUAUUAUAUUUAAACAAUAUUAUAAUAAUAGUGUGCAUUUUUUCCAUAUAAGGACAUUGUAAUCUAUUAGUAUACAAUNAAUUUAUCAUAAAAUAUGGCUUAUAGUUUAUUCAAAUUAUUAUGCUUGCAUUUUAACAUAGAAUAAAUGUCAUUAAUUUGAUAAAGUGCUGAUAGAUUAAUAAGAAUACAGUGCGUUAAUUUUUCGGAAUUAUAUAAUGGCAUAAUUAUCAUUGAUUUUUGUGUUUAUUAUAUGCACUUGUAUGAUUAACAAUGCGAAAGAUUCAGGAUACUUCGGG